AAGUCGUAACAAGGUUUCCGUAGGUGAACCUGCGGAAGGAUCAUUAACACAAUACUUUCUAUUAUCAAUAACCUUUGUGCACUGUCGGAGCCUUUUUUAACGGGAGUCGUCUAGAUCAUGGUUGGAAUGCGGUCUAGCCUGCUGUCAAGUUUUCCCGUCAUUCAUUCUCCCUCUUCUCGUUUCUGAUUGCCAAAACGGUCUAAACGCAGAAUGAAAGAAUGUUUAGGCGAUCGGUUUAACGUCCCGUUUUCUUAGGUGAAACGGCCUCAACCAUGGCUGUGCCCAAUACUUUUUUUUUAACCUCUUGAAUUAUUGUACUGAUUUGGGCUGUUCGAUUGAGAGGAGCAAUCCUUUCUCUGCAGCUUUGUGUUGAAUGCUUGUCAUUCACUCACUAACCAAAACACAACUCUUAACAGUGGAUAUCUCGGUUCUC
This 433-nucleotide unclassified non-coding RNA is filed under the name fungal sp. Its description in RNAcentral is "partial internal transcribed spacer region". The stretch from base 1 to 46 matches the Rfam family "Eukaryotic small subunit ribosomal RNA", at positions 1786 to 1831 of the family's 1831-position model. The record is from RNAcentral. Lineage: Eukaryota; Fungi.